RNAcentral lists this ribosomal RNA (1049 nucleotides) under Bacillus sp. MB-25. RNAcentral describes it as "bacterial SSU rRNA". It matches the Rfam family "Bacterial small subunit ribosomal RNA", at positions 384 to 1425 of the family's 1533-position model. The record is from RNAcentral. Lineage: Bacteria; Bacillati; Bacillota; Bacilli; Caryophanales; Bacillaceae.
UGACGGAGCAACGCCGCGUGAGUGAUGAAGGUUUUCGGAUCGUAAAACUCUGUUGUCAGGGAAGAACAAGUGCCGGAGUAACUGCCGGCGCCUUGACGGUACCUGACCAGAAAGCCACGGCUAACUACGUGCCAGCAGCCGCGGUAAUACGUAGGUGGCAAGCGUUGUCCGGAAUUAUUGGGCGUAAAGCGCGCGCAGGCGGUUUCUUAAGUCUGAUGUGAAAGCCCCCGGCUCAACCGGGGAGGGUCAUUGGAAACUGGGAAACUUGAGUGCAGAAGAGGAGAGUGGAAUUCCACGUGUAGCGGUGAAAUGCGUAGAGAUGUGGAGGAACACCAGUGGCGAAGGCGACUCUCUGGUCUGUAACUGACGCUGAGGCGCGAAAGCGUGGGGAGCGAACAGGAUUAGAUACCCUGGUAGUCCACGCCGUAAACGAUGAGUGCUAAGUGUUAGAGGGUUUCCGCCCUUUAGUGCUGCAGCUAACGCAUUAAGCACUCCGCCUGGGGAGUACGGUCGCAAGACUGAAACUCAAAGGAAUUGACGGGGGCCCGCACAAGCGGUGGAGCAUGUGGUUUAAUUCGAAGCAACGCGAAGAACCUUACCAGGUCUUGACAUCCUUUGCCACUUCUAGAGAUAGAAGGUUCCCCUUCGGGGGACAAAGUGACAGGUGGUGCAUGGUUGUCGUCAGCUCGUGUCGUGAGAUGUUGGGUUAAGUCCCGCAACGAGCGCAACCCUUGAUCUUAGUUGCCAGCAUUCAGUUGGGCACUCUAAGGUGACUGCCGGUGACAAACCGGAGGAAGGUGGGGAUGACGUCAAAUCAUCAUGCCCCUUAUGACCUGGGCUACACACGUGCUACAAUGGAUGGUACAAAGGGCUGCGAGACCGCGAGGUUUAGCCAAUCCCAUAAAACCAUUCUCAGUUCGGAUUGCAGGCUGCAACUCGCCUGCAUGAAGCUGGAAUCGCUAGUAAUCGCGGAUCAGCAUGCCGCGGUGAAUACGUUCCCGGGCCUUGUACACACCGCCCGUCACACCACGAGAGUUUGCACACCCGAA